This 449-nucleotide ribosomal RNA is filed under the name uncultured bacterium. Its description in RNAcentral is "partial 16S ribosomal RNA". It matches the Rfam family "Bacterial small subunit ribosomal RNA", at positions 354 to 796 of the family's 1533-position model. The record is from RNAcentral.
GUGGGGAAUUUUGGACAAUGGGCGAAAGCCUGAUCCAGCCAUGCCGCGUGCAGGAUGAAGGCCUUCGGGUUGUAAACUGCUUUUGUACGGAACGAAAAGACUCCUUCUAAUAAAGGGGUCCAUGACGGUACCGUAAGAAUAAGCACCGGCUAACUACGUGCCAGCAGCCGCGGUAAUACGUAGGGUGCAAGCGUUAAUCGGAAUUACUGGGCGUAAAGCGUGCGCAGGCGGUUAUAUAAGACAGAUGUGAAAUCCCCGGGCUCAACCUGGGAACUGCAUUUGUGACUGUAUAGCUAGAGUACGGUAGAGGGGGAUGGAAUUCCGCGUGUAGCAGUGAAAUGCGUAGAUAUGCGGAGGAACACCGAUGGCGAAGGCAAUCCCCUGGACCUGUACUGACGCUCAUGCACGAAAGCGUGGGGAGCAAACAGGAUUAGAUACCCCAGUAGUCC